UUAAAAUAUGCAAGUCUAAUUUUUAUUCUUUUAAAGAAGCUUAAAAUUGUGAAAACCCAAAAUUAAAAUGAAGAUAUUCUGCAAAUAUAUUCAGCUGCAUAAUUGUUCUAAAGUGUAGAAUUUAAGUUGCCGAUCCUGAGAUAAGAGAUAGCACAUUCACUGACCAAGCAAUUAAGACAGAGUUUUCUCAGCGUGAGGCUGGCCAGUUUCCAUGGUUAUUGUGAUAUCUGAUCUGUUGGGAUGGCCAAACCUGCUCCCAUUUAGCAUUUUGUAGGACAGAUCUAAACAGUCUGCUCAAUGUAUAGCCACAGUCAAGCGAAUAAAACAGAAAUGGAAUAUGUGCAAGCUGCCCCCUUCCAGUCGGACGAACUUUCAACUGACUUUGAAAUUUGAUGUUUUUGAAAACCAGUGUUUUAUUUGGAUGACUAUGAACAGAUGAAGACAUAAAUGAAGCAAAACAAACAGAAGAGAGUGAAUUAUUACUUUAUUCUAUUUUGGAGUAACUAAGUUUAAAAAGUGUGGAUAAAGAUUUACCCUGUGAACAUAUGCUAGCUAAAUAACGAACGGCCGUCAUUUAAUUUCAAGGAUUAUUUUUUAUCAUGGUUUGUGCACUCUGGAUUCAAAAUAAAUCCAUCAUUUAAAUUGU
This is a long non-coding RNA of Magallana angulata, 646 nucleotides long. RefSeq lists it as uncharacterized. The transcript is spliced from 2 exons. NCBI's taxonomy places the organism in Eukaryota, Metazoa, Mollusca, Bivalvia, Ostreida, Ostreidae. The record is from RefSeq and is a predicted model, not a curated record.